This is a non-coding RNA of Hordeum vulgare subsp. vulgare (domesticated barley), 74 nucleotides long. The record is from Rfam. Lineage: Eukaryota; Viridiplantae; Streptophyta; Magnoliopsida; Poales; Poaceae.
GGGCCUGUAGCCACGAGGAUUAGAGCACGUGGCUACGAACCACGGUGUCGGGGGUUCGAAUCCCUCCUCGCCCA